AGGGUCUGUAGAUCUGUUAUUCGUUGCAACACCGUUUCAUUCUUCCUCUUAGAUACAAUUUUUCAUUUUUUUCAUUUUUUCAUUUUUUUUUCAAUUUCCUUUUUUCCUUUCCAGGUUAACCGAGGGCACAAAUUCUCACGAUCAUAGUAAACGGGGUUUGUACUGGUAUGGCUCUUUAUAUAUCAAUCAACCGGAUGGAGCCAAAGCUUAAACCACUAGUCCUAUCCUCCGAAACAAGGCCAGAGAAUAAUCGUGAUAUAUACCACCGAACACUGCCAUAGGAGUAUCGUGGCAUCCAUGGAUAUCAUGGAUGGAUCUCGUGAUAAGUACUGAUUCUAGGCUGCUCGUGGGCUGUCACCAGAGAGUUGGAGUUAUGUAGCUCUUUGAAUUCUAUACUUCUAUUAGUCAG
RNAcentral lists this small RNA (409 nucleotides) under Histoplasma capsulatum var. duboisii H88. RNAcentral describes it as "Histoplasma capsulatum H88 hypothetical RNA". Lineage: Eukaryota; Fungi; Ascomycota; Eurotiomycetes; Onygenales; Ajellomycetaceae. The record is from RNAcentral.